Long non-coding RNA from Nematostella vectensis (starlet sea anemone), 1031 nucleotides. RefSeq lists it as uncharacterized. The transcript has 2 exons. The record is from RefSeq and is a predicted model, not a curated record. NCBI's taxonomy places the organism in Eukaryota, Metazoa, Cnidaria, Anthozoa, Actiniaria, Edwardsiidae.
AAAUUACGUAGAAUCAUUUAAAACGCGUUUUGACACGAUAUGUGUAGUUGGUUUUACCGCUCUGCUACUUUAAUUGCAAAUGCACUCCCGGGAAACUCACUUACCCUUGGAAAAUAUCAUCGGGAAAUAUCUCAGUGACAGGUUGAGUAGAGUAGCUCUCUCCGAUGCUCCAUUUUGCAGGAAAGACAAACAUUCCCAAGACAAUAGCUUCCACCUAGGUCUCCAUGGUGAGCAAAAUUAUGGAAUGGCCUUCUCAACAUUCAUUAUCUUAUUCUAGAAAAAGAUCAAGAGCAGCACUUGAAUGGGUGUGCAAUUGUACACCUGUCAAAUGCCUGUCAGCAGUGCAACGUGUUACUUGUUCGUCUGAAGCCAAGGGUCGCACAGCUGCACGUCUUUUGGCAGCCGUUGCCAACCGCCUGGUCAGACAUCAGGCGAAGAAAUUUAACAUCAGACCACAGAAUCUAAAUGAUACAGAAAAGCUAUAAUGUUAUUUAGCGAUAGUGGCAAAGCCUAUUCUAUGGGACAGUCAGCCUCAAAUGGAUUUCGCACUCCUUAAAUGAAUGCUUCCGGAAAAAUAAAUCAACUUGUUGAUAUGACUCGGUUUAGGCAAUGCGCACUAUUAAUUGCUUUGUGCCUUCAAGGCUAUCAAAGUUAAAAGAAAACAAUUUAUUGUUCAUUAGUUUAAUAUUAACAUAGCUUUGUGUUAACCAGAUGGAAAUAUUUUCCGGUUGAAACUAUUUUCUUCCGGUUCUGGAAGACAUCCUACUGUCAAAGUGUUCAAAGCACAUCGAAGGAUAAAAUUUAAUACUGUCGUUUGUGUGCAGUUUAUUAACCUACAGGUUUCUAACAGGUACUUAGGUCCUGAAGAAAACAAAGAAAACCCGAAAAUACUGUAGAUGACUAAUUUUAGGUCAAUUUAUACAUUCAUUUUCUCGGCAAUGUCUAGAAACUAAUAUAUGCAAGAACAAAAAAUAUAUCCAUAAUUACUCUAAAGAAAUCAAGUAUAAAAUAAAGGUUUGAGUUUUGUAAAA